GACAAGAUGGCCGAGUGGUCUAAGGCGUGUGACUAGAAAUCACAUGGGUUCGCCCGCGUAGGUUCAAAUCCUGCUCUUGUCG
RNAcentral lists this transfer RNA (82 nucleotides) under Cordyceps javanica. RNAcentral describes it as "Isaria javanica tRNA". It matches the Rfam family "tRNA". From Rfam's summary of the family: Transfer RNA (tRNA) molecules are approximately 80 nucleotides in length. The record is from Rfam by way of RNAcentral. Lineage: Eukaryota; Fungi; Ascomycota; Sordariomycetes; Hypocreales; Cordycipitaceae.